RNAcentral lists this ribosomal RNA (1217 nucleotides) under uncultured bacterium. RNAcentral's name for it is "bacterial SSU rRNA". It matches the Rfam family "Bacterial small subunit ribosomal RNA", at positions 8 to 1246 of the family's 1533-position model. The record is from RNAcentral.
AGAGUUUGUUCCUGGCUCAGGACGAACGCUGGCGGCGCGCCUAACACAUGCAAGUCGAACGAGCGAGAGAGAGCUUGCUUUCUCGAGCGAGUGGCGAACGGGUGAGUAACGCGUGAGGAACCUGCCUCAAAGAGGGGGACAACAGUUGGAAACGACUGCUAAUACCGCAUAAGCCCACGGCUCGGCAUCGAGCAGAGGGAAAAGGAGCAAUCCGCUUUGAGAUGGCCUCGCGUCCGAUUAGCUAGUUGGUGAGGUAACGGCCCACCAAGGCAACGAUCGGUAGCCGGACUGAGAGGUUGAACGGCCACAUUGGGACUGAGACACGGCCCAGACUCCUACGGGAGGCAGCAGUGGGGAAUAUUGCACAAUGGGGGAAACCCUGAUGCAGCGACGCCGCGUGGAGGAAGAAGGUCUUCGGAUUGUAAACUCCUGUUGUUGAGGAAGAUAAUGACGGUACUCAACAAGGAAGUGACGGCUAACUACGUGCCAGCAGCCGCGGUAAAACGUAGGUCACAAGCGUUGUCCGGAAUUACUGGGUGUAAAGGGAGCGCAGGCGGGAAGACAAGUUGGAAGUGAAAUCCAUGGGCUCAACCCAUGAACUGCUUUCAAAACUGUUUUUCUUGAGUAGUGCAGAGGUAGGCGGAAUUCCCGGCGUAGCGGUGGAAUGCGUAGAUAUCGGGAGGAACACCAGUGGCGAAGGCGGCCUACUGGGCACCAACUGACGCUGAGGCUCGAAAGUGUGGGUAGCAAACAGGAUUAGAUACCCUGGUAGUCCACACUGUAAACGAUGAUUACUAGGUGUUGGAGGAUUGACCCCUUCAGUGCCGCAGUUAACACAAUAAGUAAUCCACCUGGGGAGUACGACCGCAAGGUUGAAACUCAAAGGAAUUGACGGGGGCCCGCACAAGCAGUGGAGUAUGUGGUUUAAUUCGACGCAACGCGAAGAACCUUACCAAGUCUUGACAUCCUGCGACGCACAUAGAAAUAUGUGUUUCCUUCGGGACGCAGAGACAGGUGGUGCAUGGUUGUCGUCAGCUCGUGUCGUGAGAUGUUGGGUUAAGUCCCGCAACGGGCGCAACCCUUAUGGUCAGUUACUACGCAAGAGGACUCUGGCCAGACUGCCGUUGACAAAACGGAGGAAGGUGGGGAUGACGUCAAAUCAUCAUGCCCUUUAUGACUUGGGCUACACACGUACUACAAUGGCGUUAAACAAAGAG